RNAcentral lists this ribosomal RNA (497 nucleotides) under uncultured bacterium. RNAcentral's name for it is "bacterial SSU rRNA". It matches the Rfam family "Bacterial small subunit ribosomal RNA", at positions 8 to 507 of the family's 1533-position model. The record is from RNAcentral.
AGAGUUUGAUCAUGGCUCAGGAUGAACGCUGGCGGCGUGCCUAACACAUGCAAGUCGAACGGUAACAGGUUCUCACUAUGCUUUUGAAGUUUCGAAGGUUUAGUGAGAAUGCUGACGAGUGGCGGACGGCUGAGUAACGCGUGGGAACGUGCCCCAAAGUGAGGGAUAAGCACCGGAAACGGUGUCUAAUACCGCAUAUGAUCUUCGGAUUAAAGCAGCAAUGCGCUUUGGGAGCGGCCUGCGUCGGAUUAGGUUGUUGGUGAGGUAAUGGCUCACCAAGCCGACGAUCCGUAGCUGGUCUGAGAGGAUGACCAGCCAGACUGGAACUGAGACACGGUCCAGACUCCUACGGGAGGCAGCAGUGAGGAAUCUUCCACAAUGGGGGCAACCCUGAUGGAGCAACGCCGCGUGCAGGAUGAAGGCCUUCGGGUCGUAAACUGCUUUUAUAAGUGAGGAAUAUGACGGUAACUUAUGAAUAAGGAUCGGCUAACUACGUG